Molecule: ribosomal RNA, 307 nt
Filed under: uncultured bacterium
Lineage: Bacteria
Description: bacterial SSU rRNA
Rfam family: Bacterial small subunit ribosomal RNA
Source: RNAcentral
GACGAACGCUGGCGGCGUGCUUCAUACAUGCAAGUCGAACGAUAAGUUACCUUCGGGUAAUGGACAGUGGCGGACGGGUGAGUAAAAUGUAGAGAAUCUGCCUUUGAGAGGGGGACAACAGUUGGAAACGACUGCUAAUACCGCAUAAGCCCACAGGUCGGCAUCGGCCAGAGGGAAAAGGAGCAAUCCGCUUUGAGAUGGCCUCGCGUCCGAUUAGCUAGUUGGUGAGGUAACGGCCCACCAAGGCGACGAUCGGUAGCCGGACCGAGAGGUUGAACGGCCACAUUGGGACUGAGACACGGCCCAG